GAAUAUGUGAGUAUUCAGUAACAACUCAAGUUUCCAAUAAAAGCGUUUACCUUUUGUGUACGCUCUUGCUAUUUAGCGUAUAAAAUUGUUGCUUCUACCAUAAAAAUAAAGUAUUGCUGAAAACAACCUGUAGGAAGUUUGGAAUGCUUCUGCAGUUUUGCUUUCAUUAUAUAUAUCUCUAUCUCUUUUGGUCAGUUAUUUCUCUCAGACUUUAAUUAUGUAGCAUCUCAUUUAUCCACUGUAGGGAUGAAGGCGAUGGAGAAACCACAGCAAAUUGGCAUGUCUAUGAAACUGGACAUAGUUUAGGUGGAGCUCUAACAACCCUUCUCACUUCCGAACUUUCAUCUAGUCAAGUGUCCAAGUAAGAUCAAUUUGAUCCUGAUUAGAUUUAGUCUCUUGUUUGAUCAGCAUAAGGGAAAUGUUCUUGCAGCAAGUCGGAUCACACUUAUUUGAUGGAAUAUCCACUAGGAAUGUUGUGCCAUGUUUCCCUACAUGGUGAUAUUAUUUGUUCUCAAAAGUCUUUUACUUCGCCGCCAAUAGAAGUUCACUCCUGAGUCUAAAACAGUUCACUACAUUAGGAAAAUGAAAAUAAAUAAAUCAGUAUGUGAAUAUGCUAACCAAAAAAUUCCCGACUUGAACAGAGACUUGUGCAUAGCUCGGUUGAAAGAUGAACUCUGUAGUUCACUGUUGCAAGCGAAUUUAUUUAGCAGUUGACUGACAUUAUAUCGAAAGUUCAGACACAUAAAUAGGCGAAGUUCAUUUUGAUCGAUAUGCUUUAUAGUUUUCUUUUGAUGAAAAACACAUUAAAAAGGAUGCUUUUAAAAAUGUUCUCUAUGAGAUACUCACCUAUGCACAAUUUUUCUGUAGAAAAGAAACUGCAAGAUUUCUGUGAUUCUCAGCUGCCUAUCUAUGGUUUGUGUAUCACUGCUAAAUUCAUUUUUAUCUGUUUCCAGGGGAGUUCAAUUCGUCCGAAGGCGAAGUUGAUUAUUUUCUGUAGAACAGUUCGAUUCAUAAUAAGCUAGCUAUUUAUUAAUCAGCUAGUUAUUCAUUUACCGGAACAGAAGUUGCAUGGAGUCAAGGUGCACAUGGCAGAAGUUCACAUCAACUAUAUUGUGAAGCUCGCUUCUUCUUUCCCGUGAAUUCGCCUCGUCAAUUAUUUUGUCAGCAAGUUCACAUCGCCCUCAUGUAGAAAACUAGAAGUUCGGAUAUAAUUGUGGAGCACUGCAGUUCGCAUGGGCGUUGGCGAACAUCCCUCGGCGCACCUACCUCUGCAUCGGCGUUGGUGAACAUCAGUGCACACCAAGUUCCUCGUCGGGCUGAGAUGUUUUUACAACUGACUGGCUAUGAAGUUCACAUCUCUUUUUAGGGUAAAAUCUCAUGUGAAUUUGAGGAACCCAAACGAACAGAUGGUAUAUCAGCCUCAGAUAAUAUAAUGAAGAUUGCUGAAGAUUAUACGAGUAUGUUACGCCUAAUCUGGCUAUUGCGUACAACAGAAAUGAUGGUGACAAGCUGGGCUGCUGUUUCAAGGUCACUUGCUAGCGUAUUGAGUAUAAAUUUACUCGCGAACCGUGUCUGGCUGGGUUGUGAAAACAGAUGCAGCAGCUGGUUUGCGAACUUGCUCAAUGAUCUUUGUAACUAUGAACUUGUGGCUGCUAUGUGUGUGAUUUUCAUUUAUAGAUUGAGUGUUUUUUUAUGAUUGGAAAUGUAUUCCUGUG
Molecule: long non-coding RNA, 1715 nt
Organism: Lolium perenne
Lineage: Eukaryota; Viridiplantae; Streptophyta; Magnoliopsida; Poales; Poaceae
Source: RefSeq, a predicted model, not a curated record